GGUUAAGCGACUAAGCGUACACGGUGGAUGCCCUGGCAGUCAGAGGCGAUGAAGGACGUGCUAAUCUGCGAUAAGCGUCGGUAAGGUGAUAUGAACCGUUAUAACCGGCGAUUUCCGAAUGGGGAAACCCAGUGUGUUUCGACACACUAUCAUUAACUGAAUCCAUAGGUUAAUGAGGCGAACCGGGGGAACUGAAACAUCUAAGUACCCCGAGGAAAAGAAAUCAACCGAGAUUCCCCCAGUAGCGGCGAGCGAACGGGGAGCAGCCCAGAGCCUGAAUCAGUGUGUGUGUUAGUGGAAGCGUCUGGAAAGGCGCGCGAUACAGGGUGACAGCCCCGUACACAAAAAUGCACAUACUGUGAGCUCGAUGAGUAGGGCGGGACACGUGGUAUCCUGUCUGAAUAUGGGGGGACCAUCCUCCAAGGCUAAAUACUCCUGACUGACCGAUAGUGAACCAGUACCGUGAGGGAAAGGCGAAAAGAACCCCGGCGAGGGGAGUGAAAAAGAACCUGAAACCGUGUACGUACAAGCAGUGGGAGCCUCUUUUAUGGGGUGACUGCGUACCUUUUGUAUAAUGGGUCAGCGACUUAUAUUCUGUAGCAAGGUUAACCGAAUAGGGGAGCCGAAGGGAAACCGAGUCUUAACCGGGCGUUAAGUUGCAGGGUAUAGACCCGAAACCCGGUGAUCUAGCCAUGGGCAGGUUGAAGGUUGGGUAACACUAACUGGAGGACCGAACCGACUAAUGUUGAAAAAUUAGCGGAUGACUUGUGGCUGGGGGUGAAAGGCCAAUCAAACCGGGAGAUAGCUGGUUCUCCCCGAAAGCUAUUUAGGUAGCGCCUCGUGAAUUCAUCUCCGGGGGUAGAGCACUGUUUCGGCAAGGGGGUCAUCCCGACUUACCAACCCGAUGCAAACUGCGAAUACCGGAGAAUGUUAUCACGGGAGACACACGGCGGGUGCUAACGUCCGUCGUGAAGAGGGAAACAACCCAGACCGCCAGCUAAGGUCCCAAAGUCAUGGUUAAGUGGGAAACGAUGUGGGAAGGCCCAGACAGCCAGGAUGUUGGCUUAGAAGCAGCCAUCAUUUAAAGAAAGCGUAAUAGCUCACUGGUCGAGUCGGCCUGCGCGGAAGAUGUAACGGGGCUAAACCAUGCACCGAAGCUGCGGCAGCGACACUGUGUGUUGUUGGGUAGGGGAGCGUUCUGUAAGCCUGUGAAGGUGUACUGUAAGGUAUGCUGGAGGUAUCAGAAGUGCGAAUGCUGACAUAAGUAACGAUAAAGCGGGUGAAAAGCCCGCUCGCCGGAAGACCAAGGGUUCCUGUCCAACGUUAAUCGGGGCAGGGUGAGUCGACCCCUAAGGCGAGGCCGAAAGGCGUAGUCGAUGGGAAACAGGUUAAUAUUCCUGUACUUGGUGUUACUGCGAAGGGGGGACGGAGAAGGCUAUGUUGGCCGGGCGACGGUUGUCCCGGUUUAAGCGUGUAGGCUGGUUUUCCAGGCAAAUCCGGAAAAUCAAGGCUGAGGCGUGAUGACGAGGCACUACGGUGCUGAAGCAACAAAUGCCCUGCUUCCAGGAAAAGCCUCUAAGCAUCAGGUAACAUCAAAUCGUACCCCAAACCGACACAGGUGGUCAGGUAGAGAAUACCAAGGCGUUUGAGAGAACUCGGGUGAAGGAACUAGGCAAAAUGGUGCCGUAACUUCGGGAGAAGGCACGCUGAUAUGUAGGUGAAGUCCCUCGCGGAUGGAGCUGAAAUCAGUCGAAGAUACCAGCUGGCUGCAACUGUUUAUUAAAAACACAGCACUGUGCAAACACGAAAGUGGACGUAUACGGUGUGACGCCUGCCCGGUGCCGGAAGGUUAAUUGAUGGGGUCAGCGCAAGCGAAGCUCUUGAUCGAAGCCCCGGUAAACGGCGGCCGUAACUAUAACGGUCCUAAGGUAGCGAAAUUCCUUGUCGGGUAAGUUCCGACCUGCACGAAUGGCGUAAUGAUGGCCAGGCUGUCUCCACCCGAGACUCAGUGAAAUUGAACUCGCUGUGAAGAUGCAGUGUACCCGCGGCAAGACGGAAAGACCCCGUGAACCUUUACUAUAGCUUGACACUGAACAUUGAGCCUUGAUGUGUAGGAUAGGUGGGAGGCUUUGAAGUGUGGACGCCAGUCUGCAUGGAGCCGACCUUGAAAUACCACCCUUUAAUGUUUGAUGUUCUAACGUGGACCCGUGAUCCGGGUUGCGGACAGUGUCUGGUGGGUAGUUUGACUGGGGCGGUCUCCUCCUAAAGAGUAACGGAGGAGCACGAAGGUUGGCUAAUCCUGGUCGGACAUCAGGAGGUUAGUGCAAUGGCAUAAGCCAGCUUGACUGCGAGCGUGACGGCGCGAGCAGGUGCGAAAGCAGGUCAUAGUGAUCCGGUGGUUCUGAAUGGAAGGGCCAUCGCUCAACGGAUAAAAGGUACUCCGGGGAUAACAGGCUGAUACCGCCCAAGAGUUCAUAUCGACGGCGGUGUUUGGCACCUCGAUGUCGGCUCAUCACAUCCUGGGGCUGAAGUAGGUCCCAAGGGUAUGGCUGUUCGCCAUUUAAAGUGGUACGCGAGCUGGGUUUAGAACGUCGUGAGACAGUUCGGUCCCUAUCUGCCGUGGGCGCUGGAGAACUGAGGGGGGCUGCUCCUAGUACGAGAGGACCGGAGUGGACGCAUCACUGGUGUUCGGGUUGUCAUGCCAAUGGCACUGCCCGGUAGCUAAAUGCGGAAGAGAUAAGUGCUGAAAGCAUCUAAGCACGAAACUUGCCCCGAGAUGAGUUCUCCCUGACCCUUUAAGGGUCCUGAAGGAACGUUGAAGACGACGACGUUGAUAGGCCGGGUGUGUAAGCGCAGCGAUGCGUUGAGCUAACCGGUACUAAUGAACCGUGAGGCUUAACCUUACAACGCCGAAGGUGUUUUG
This 2923-nucleotide ribosomal RNA is filed under the name Escherichia coli O157:H7 str. 1125. RNAcentral's name for it is "LSU rRNA". It matches the Rfam family "Bacterial large subunit ribosomal RNA". Lineage: Bacteria; Pseudomonadati; Pseudomonadota; Gammaproteobacteria; Enterobacterales; Enterobacteriaceae. The record is from RNAcentral.